UAAAAAGACAGAUGGGCCUUGAAGGCCUCUGAAGCCCAUUAGGGCGUACAACAACAAGGAGCAAGGGGGUGGUCCAAAACCCAGGAAGCCCAUGUGGCUGAUCCAAUUCGGGUUAUCCAUAACCCUGGACCGGGUCAAAGAAACCGACCUAAGAUCCGUUGGAUCUCCAACCUUGAAACAUGCGGAACGGCGUUUCCAACGCCUUGAGAAGGUCAACCAAUUCUUGGGCAGUGAGAGAUCUUGGCUCUCAUUCAUGGCCAUAAAUCAAAAAAUCUGCAGUUAAUGAUAAUUAACAACAAUGAAGAAUAUAUACGCUCUGUUCUUUCUCGUUCAAGAACUCAACCUUUCGGAAAGUAAUCGCGUCCCAAACCCUUACAUAUACCCAGAAACAAACUCCAACCUUAAACUACCUUCCUUGAAAUCCAACAUUAGAGUUACACAAAUCCAACAAACCUAAGCAAGAUACUCAUUUAUAUCUACCGAUUCGAGAAUAAUUUCUAGUGAUAUCACUCAAAGUAAAAGAAAAAUCAGGGAAGUGAUAUGAACCUUACCAACUCAGAGAAUCGGAACGUCCAGCUUCUGACGAUGUCGCUCAAGUUCUUCCGGCGAGUGUUCUGAUUGCAACCAAUUGUCCAGACAAAGUAUGCUUUCUCUUCACGGUUUGGCUUUUCUCUUUUCCUUUCCUACCCCAUUCUUGUCAAUAUGCUCCUCUGUUUAGACUUCUACUGAUGAGGUUUUAGAUUUGCUUUUUCCUCAGAGAUUCAAUACGAAACUCUAAAAGAAGAAAAGCUUUUAGGUGAGGAUGAGAAUUUCAACAGGGCAACGGUGCAAAAUCUCCUCCUCUUCUUCUAAUUUCUGUGUUCGAUGUGAUUUUUAUCAGGGUCUUAGCUCGUAUUACUCAAAGUUCUAAGGAUAAACUUUGAGCACCCAUUUGAUAUCUUUGAGCUUUGGUGUGCAGGUUAGGAUGCGAUUUCGGCAGAGUGACGGUGCAUAAAAUUAGGUCUUGGUCGAGUGACGGCGCACCGAUUAGGGUUUUUUCUUUUCAAUGAUUGGAUGUCUCUUAUAUAGAGCUCUGGGUUACCAAGUCUCUCACCUGUGAGCUGGCCAAAAAUCCAAGAUUUUCCGUUGGAAUCAAAUCUCCUCUAAUUUUGGUGUGGUCCCUAAUUUGAUGCAGGUGGCAAGGCGAGUUGGUUGGGAGUGGAAAUCUUUCCAUGAUGCGUGGUCCCAAAAUGCAGGUGCUUGAAGAUUUUGUCUGUAGUGAAUCCACGGUCUCACAACUAUCAGAGUGAUGCUGAAUCCGCUGGUGCUUGAUUUCUUUUGACAGCAUAGACAUUGGUUUGAUCGUGGUAUGUGGCUACCGCAGGUCUUGUUGUGACCACUGAUGUGUUGCAGAGUACUGAUUAUCUCAUUCCUGUUGAUAAGCCUGUGGUACUAUCUGGCGGCAAUCCUCCAAGAAGAUUGACAAAUGCUGCAGGUUUUGGUUCUGCAGCCAAGAUUUCUUGCCGUUUAAAGGGAUAGUUUGAUGGCAGUUGAUGUUAGCUAGUGCUGUGGUUUUGCAACAGCUUUGGUUGGCAGCGGUAUUGACGACACGGGUGGUGCAAGUGGGAAAUCUCGACAAGGCUAGUAGCUGUGUUGUUUCACUUUGUAAUGGAUUUGGAUGACCAUAUUGAUUUCUUAUUUCUGUCAUUCGCAGGUUUUCCGUGUUGCUUCAAUCAUUGCAACAUUAUAUACAAUUCAAAAUGCAAUUGGCUCGGCUGCAAUCACUAGAGUUUCAAAUGCACUAGGAGCUGGACAUCCACAAGCAACACAAUUGUUUGUGUAUGCUGCUAUGACUCCUGCUGUUUCCAAUGCAAUUUUGAUUAGUUCCACCAUUUUUCUCUCUCGACGGAUUGUCGGUUAUAUAUUUAGCAACAGGCAGGAUAUCCUUGUAAACCAAAACGAUAGAACUAACUUUGUUUGCUGUCAUGGCAGGAUGUCCUUGUAAACCAAUAUAGUAGAACUCACUCUGUUUGCUGUCAUAGCAGGAUGGGUGUUUGAUUGGGUUCUGCAGUAAGCUUGUCAUGCACGUCGGGUGGGAUUUAUGCCAAUGACUUUGGUAUGUUGUAGGCCUGUGGUAGACUCAUUGCUUGGAACCGAAAUCUGUUAGAAUUCAGGCACAAGAUUUACGGUGCGGAAGGUCCUGGUGUAUAAUGCAUUUGGCUUUGAUGUAGACUGUUGUGCUUAUCUGGUCGUGGCUUGAUGGUCAUUAGAUUUUGAAGUGUAUUUCUUUCAUUUGGCCCACUGUAAUGUAUUUUUAGGACCUAAGAUUGCUGUGAACGGUCUUGUGGUAUUGUGGUAUUUGAAACAACUAUGUUUGUAAAAAUCCAAAAUUUGUUCAGCUAAUGUAAUUUCUACAUUGAUGUCUUUAAGCCA
This is a long non-coding RNA of Lathyrus oleraceus (garden pea), 2412 nucleotides long. RefSeq lists it as uncharacterized. The transcript has 4 exons. Lineage: Eukaryota; Viridiplantae; Streptophyta; Magnoliopsida; Fabales; Fabaceae. The record is from RefSeq and is a predicted model, not a curated record.